Molecule: ribosomal RNA, 253 nt
Filed under: uncultured bacterium
Lineage: Bacteria
Description: partial 16S ribosomal RNA
Rfam family: Bacterial small subunit ribosomal RNA
Source: RNAcentral
GACAGAGGGUGCAAGCGUUGUUCGGAAUCAUUGGGCGUAAAGGGCGCGUAGGCGGUUUGUUAAGUCGGAUGUGAAAGCCCAGGGCUCAACCUUGGAAGUGCAUCCGAAACUGGCGAACUAGAGUCCCGGAGAGGGUGGUGGAAUUCCCAGUGUAGAGGUGAAAUUCGUAGAUAUUGGGAGGAACACCGGUGGCGAAGGCGACCGCCUGGACGGAGACUGACGCUGAGGCGCGAAAGCGUGGGGAGCAAACAGG